Impatiens glandulifera is the source of this 3470-nucleotide RNA transcript. It is a transcript of the gene named pentatricopeptide repeat-containing protein At4g33990, with no coding region annotated. The transcript has 6 exons. NCBI's taxonomy places the organism in Eukaryota, Viridiplantae, Streptophyta, Magnoliopsida, Ericales, Balsaminaceae. The record is from RefSeq and is a predicted model, not a curated record.
UCUUCUUCAGUUCAAGUUUCAAGUUCAAGUUCAGUGAGUCAGUUCUUCACAGUUCUCCGGCCGGCAGUCAUUUUAGUCUUCAUUCUUCUCCAGAGUCCACUUCUCAAUUCUCCGGCCGGCAGACCUGUGAUGUGAGUAUCAUCUCAUCCCAUCCCAUCCCAUCUCAUCUUGCCUUGUUUAAUAAUAAAUGUUACAACAGUUAGUUGGACUCGGAACUGCAGAAUAAUAAUAAUAAUAACAAUAAUCAUGUCUUCAUCACUCCGCCGCAAAUGUAACACAACCUCCUGCUAUCAACUCUCUUUGCUCCGACCAAUCCAAAUCGCCACCCGCGCUUUUCGAUCCGACAGACUACUCGCAAAAGCCUCACCAGAGAAUCAACUGCAAUCAUUUCAUGGGGAAGCAAUUAGCCUUACAAAUCACGGAGAUCGCUCUCGUAUUGAAGCAAUUCUUAAGUACAUUGAAGAUGUUGACCUUCAACGGUGGACCUCCCCUGAUACUAAAUCUUUCAGUAUUGAACUUGGUGAAUUCCACAAGAUGCUGAAUUGCGUCACUAAUCCACAUAUAUUUGAUCAGUUACUGGAGAUGAACUGUAUCGAUUUAGUUUCCAAGGGAGAUUCUCACAUUAACAAUCACCAUAAUGCUGCCAAACAGUUGCUGAAUAAGGUGUUCAAAAUUCGUCUGGGCAGAGGAAACUAUGGUGAAUGUCUGGCGUCUAGAGCUGAUGGGAAUUCUAAAUUCAGUGAUGAAAUGUGCCAGGAACUUAGCAUAAGGAGUGUUGCUGCUGGACUGAGAUUAUUGCCAUCACGCAAACUAAAGCGAUUUCCAGGCGGGUCACUCAUUCAUCAAAGUAGUCGUGGAUUGUGUUACUCCUCAAUGAAUUCUGCACAGAUUUCAUCAAAUGGAAAUGGGAACAAGAAAAAUGAGAUUGAUUUUGAGCUUCUAUUCAAUCGUUGCAAUAAUACCUGUUUUGCUAAGCGUCUUCAUGCUUUCCUGAUUGUGUCAGGAAAAGUUGAAAGCAUCUUCAUCUCCACAAAGCUCAUCAACGUGUAUGCUAAUCAUGCUGAUGUUGGAUUGUCUCGCAAGACUUUUGAUCAAAUUGAGACGAAGGAUACAUAUACUUGGAAUUCGAUGAUAUCUGCUUAUGUUCGAAAUAACCGGUUCCCUGAAGCUGUCAAUGGUUUAUGUGAAAUGUUAUUGCUAUCUGAUACUCGACCUGAUUUUUAUACUUUUCCCCCAGUACUGAAAGCUUGUAGAAAAUUAUAUGAUGGGAAGAAGAUACAUAGCUGGGUUUUGAAGAUGGGGCUCAUGUGGGAUGUUUAUGUUGCUGCUUCUUUGGUACAUAUGUAUUGUCGCUUCGGUUCUGUUGAUGUUGCCCACAAAAUAUUCUGUGAUAUGACUAUUCGAGACAGGGGCUCCUGGAAUGCAAUGAUUUCUGGGUUUUGUCAAAGUGGAAAUGCUGUAGAGGCAUUAAGGGUCCUAGAUGAGAUGAAUCGUGAGGGAAUAAAGAUGGAUUGCGUCACAGUUUCAGCUAUUAUCCCUGCUUGCGCCCAAAGGGGUGAUGAUUUGCAUGGUAUGCUCGUCCAUUUGUAUGUGAUAAAACAUGGUUUGGAUUACGACGUGUUUGUUCGCAAUUCUUUGAUCAAUAUGUAUUCUAAAUUUGGCGAUGUUUCUCUUUCCCAGAAGGUUUUUGAUCAAACAGACUUUAGAGAUUUGGUUUCAUGGAACUCUAUAAUUGCAGCAUAUGAACAAAAUGGUGAUCCAGACACUGCACUAAAACUUUUUGGAGAGAUGCAAUCAAAUGGAGUUCAGCUUGAUUUGCUUACACUUGUGAGUUUAGCUUCUAUUGCUCGGUCAAAAAAUUGCCAAAGUGAGAGGUCAGUUCAUGGUUAUGCACUGAGAAGGUGCUGGGUUUUGGAAGACAUUAUUGUUGGAAAUGCGAUUAUAGAUAUGUAUGCCAAGUUGGGUAAUAUUGAUUAUGCACGUAGAGUCUUUGAUAUAAUAUUCUCAAAGGAUGUGAUUUCAUGGAACACAAUGAUCACAGGUUAUGCUCAAAAUGGUUUUGCAAGUGAAGCUGUUCAGUUAUUCUCCUUGAUGGGAGAUCACAUGAACCUAGUAGCUAACCAAGGAACUUGGGUAAGCAUUUUGCCUGCUUACUCGCAUCUGGGAGCUCUAAGGCUAGGGAGAAAGAGUCAUGGAAAGAUUCUAAAAGUCUGUCUUCAAUUUGACAUUUAUGUGGGAACUUGUCUCAUUGACCUCUAUGGAAAAUGUGGGAAACUAGAUGAUGCAUUAUCCUUGUUUUAUGAAGUGCCCAGAUUUAAUUCAGUUCCUUGGAAUGCCAUAAUAUCUUGUCAUGGAAUUAAUGGAUAUGGUGAAACAUCUUUGCAACUAUUUAAAACUAUGCAGGAUUUGAGUGUGCAGCCAGAUCAUGUUACCUUUAUAUCCCUUUUAUCAGCCUGCAGUCAUUCGGGACUUGUUGACCAGGGUCGCGGGUACUUUACUAUCAUGCAAGAAAAAUAUGGAAUUAAACCCAGUUUGAAGCAUUAUGGAUGCAUGGUAGAUUUGUUUGGAAGAGCUGGUAAUCUAGAGAUGGCAUAUGAUUUUAUAAAUAGCAUGCCCAUACAGCCUGAUGCUUCUGUUUGGGGUGCUCUUCUUGGAGCAUGCAGAGUUCAUGGGAAUGUGGAAUUGGGUAAAGUUGCUGCAAACCACUUGUUUCAAGUUGAUCCUAAAAAUGUGGGCUAUUAUGUUUUAUUAUCCAACAUAUAUGCAAAUACUGGAAAAUGGGAGGGAGUGGAUGAAGUAAGAACAUUGGCUAGAGAUAAUAGAUUGAAGAAGACUCCUGGGUGGAGCUCAAUUGAAGUACACAACCAGACUGAAGUCUUUUAUACUGGGAACCAAUCCCACCACCAUUCUUCUUCUGAGAAAAUCUACAAGGAGUUGGAGAUGCUAACUGUGAAAAUGAAGAGCAUUGGCUAUAUUCCAGAUUAUAGCUUUGUGUUGCAGGAUGUUGAGGAGGAUGAGAAAGAUCGUAUUCUUAUGAGUCAUAGCGAAAGAUUAGCUAUAGCAUAUGGAAUUAUUAGUACACCUCCUAAGAGCCCGCUACAGAUAUUCAAGAAUCUUCGUAUUUGUGGUGAUUGCCACAAUGUGACUAAAUUAAUUUCUAAAAUCACUGAGAGGGAGAUAAUUGUUAGGGAUUCAAACCGUUUCCAUCAUUUCAAGGAUGGCUUCUGUUCAUGUGGAGACUAUUGGUGAUGAUCCAUGGUAAAAUCGUUAUAUUGCCAAACUUCUCUUGUUUCGAUGUCCAUUGAUGAGGCCUAUUGGAGCUGUUAUCUAUAUGCAACAAAAUGAUCUCAAAAUGUGCUUAAGGGGCACAGACAGCUGUGCAGAUACCUCAGAAAUUGCAAAGGUAUUAUAGCUAACUUAUAUUUCUCAUUUAUUAUAUCAGUAGGAGCAACAAUCAUGUUAAAGGCUUU